RNAcentral lists this ribosomal RNA (253 nucleotides) under uncultured bacterium. RNAcentral describes it as "partial 16S ribosomal RNA". It matches the Rfam family "Bacterial small subunit ribosomal RNA", at positions 524 to 776 of the family's 1533-position model. The record is from RNAcentral.
UACGUAGGGUGCAAGCGUUGUCCGGAAUUAUUGGGCGUAAAGAGCUCGUAGGCGGUUUGUCGCGUCUGCUGUGAAAACUCGGGGCUUAACCCCGGGCCUGCAGUGGGUACGGGCAGACUAGAGUGCGGUAGGGGAGAACGGAAUUCCUGGUGUAGCGGUGAAAUGCGCAGAUAUCAGGAGGAACACCGGUGGCGAAGGCGGUUCUCUGGGCAUUACCUGACGCUGAGGAGCGAAAGUGUGGGGAGCGAACAGG